UGGCUCAGUGGUUGAGCAUCUGCCUUUGGUUCAGAUCGUGAUCCCAGGGUCGUGGGUUCAAGUCCCAC
This 68-nucleotide transfer RNA is filed under the name Canis lupus familiaris (dog). It matches the Rfam family "tRNA", at positions 8 to 63 of the family's 71-position model. From Rfam's summary of the family: Transfer RNA (tRNA) molecules are approximately 80 nucleotides in length. Their secondary structure includes four short double-helical elements and three loops (D, anti-codon, and T loops). RNAcentral also lists the same sequence under 1 other name. The record is from Rfam by way of RNAcentral. Lineage: Eukaryota; Metazoa; Chordata; Mammalia; Carnivora; Canidae.